GUAAACACUUUGAAGAACACGUGGUACUCAGGUCAUACGAAAAUCAGAAAUAAUUACUCUGUACUAUUCAACUCAUUUGUACCCAAAAAUGGUGAAAUUUCUCUCUGUUCUUCAAUGGUCCCUCCCAAGCUCUCAAGGGUUUGUCAUCUUCGGGUCAACGUAAAUCAGAAAUAAUUACUUUGUUUCUUUUCUUUUAUUGUUUCUUCCAAGCAAGCUUCUAAUGGGUGUUGAAGUUUGCAAGGAAAAUAACAUCACAGUAGAAGAGUAAAGGAAGAAGAAGAGACUAACACAGGAGCUACGUGGUUCGAUAUAAUUGUCUACAUCCAUGGUAAGGGGUUUCUUGAAGAAAUCAGAUGAGUCGUUUUCUCUCUUCACAAAAGCACACUUUUACUUUUUCUUCUUGAACAGAUAUGAACAGAAAAUUGAAAGACAGAUUCGCAUCAUUGGGAAGCAAUUCAACAAACAAGUAAACGAUUCAUUGGAAUUAGUUGUUUUCUCUUUCUCAAAAGAAGAUCAAGUUUCACUGUAAUGAAGAAACACGAAACCUUGAUCAGUUGAUUGAGGAAAAACUUGAUGAAAAAUAUAGUAUGAUAGAAUCACUCAAGUCCAGAUGAAAAAUAUCUACAUUCUCUGAACUUAUAAUCACAAAAAUUGUAAUUAUGAUUCAUAUCUUAAAGAAAUAAAAUCUUAGAUCCUGGGUCAUGCACUCCCCAGAAAACAUCUACUGGUUAACCA
Molecule: long non-coding RNA, 735 nt
Organism: Cucumis sativus (cucumber)
Lineage: Eukaryota; Viridiplantae; Streptophyta; Magnoliopsida; Cucurbitales; Cucurbitaceae
Exons: 2
Source: RefSeq, a predicted model, not a curated record